RNAcentral lists this long non-coding RNA (1828 nucleotides) under Homo sapiens (human). RNAcentral describes it as "non-protein coding lnc-TMEM121B-3:1". The record is from RNAcentral. Lineage: Eukaryota; Metazoa; Chordata; Mammalia; Primates; Hominidae.
CACACUCUGAAUGGGACGAGGACCAGGAUGAGGGCGUAGGACUUAUGAAUCAAUCAAGGGCUUGUGCUGGAGGCAAGAAUAACACCAUGAGCAGUAAAGGAGCGUGUGCGAUGGCGUGUGAUCGAAGGCCGGUAAGCUCACAGGAGGGCGUCACAGGUGUGGGGCGUGUGUGAUGGCGUGUGAUCGAAGGCCGGUAAGCUCACAGGAGGGCGCCACAGGUGUGGAGCGUGUGCGAUGGCAUGUGAUCGAAGGCCUGUGAGCUCACAGGAGUGUGCCACAGGUGUGGGGCGUGUGCGAUGGCGUGUGAUUGAAGGCCGGUAAGCUCACAGGAGGGCGCCACAGGUGUGGGGCGUGUGCGAUGGCGUGUGAUCGAAGGCCGGUAAGCUCACAGGAGUGUGCCACAGGUGUGGGGCGUGUGCGAUGGCGUGUGAUCGAAGGCCGGUAAGCUCACAGGAGUGUGCCACAGGUGUGGGGCGUGUGCGAUGGCAUGUGAUCGAAGGCCGGUAAGCUCACAGGAGUGCGCCACAGGUGUGGGGCGUGUGCGAUGGCGUGUGAUCGAAGGCCUGUAAGCUCACAGGAGUGCGUCACAGGUGUGGGGCGUGUGCGAUGGCGUGUGAUCGAAGGCCGGUAAGCUCACAGGAGGGCGUCACAGGUGUGGGGCGUGUGCGAUGGCGUGUGAUCGAAGGCCGGUAAGCUCACAGGAGGGCGUCACAGGUGUGGGGCGUGUGCGAUGGCGUGUGAUCGAAGGCCGGUAAGCUCACAGGAGGGCGUCACAGGUGUGGGGCGUGUGCGAUGACGUGUGAUCGAAGGCCGGUAAGCUCACAGGAGGGCGUCACAGGUGUGGGGCGUGUGCGAUGGCGUGUGAUCGAAUGCCGGUAAGCUCACAGGAGGGCGUCACAGGUGUGGGGCGUGUGCGAUGGCGUGUGAUCGAAGGCCGGUAAGCUCACAGGAGGGCGUCACAGGUGUGGGGCGUGUGCGAUGGCGUGUGAUCGAAGGCCGGUAAGCUCACAGGAGGGCGUCACAGGUGUGGGGCGUGUGCGAUGGCGUGUGAUCGAAGGCCGGUAAGCUCACAGGAGGGCGUCACAGGUGUGGGGCGUGUGCGAUGACGUGUGAUUGAAGGCCGGUAAGCUCACAGGAGGGCGUCACAGGUGUGGGGCGUGUGCGAUGAUGUGUGAUUGAAGGCCGGUAAGCUCACAGGAGGGCGUCACAGGUGUGGGGCGUGUGCGAUGACGUGUGAUCGAAGGCCUGUAAGCUCACAGGAGUGUGCCACAGGUGUGGAGCGUGUGCGAUGGCGUGUGAUCGAAGGCCGGUAAGCUCACAGGAGGGCGUCACAGGUGUGGGGCGUGUGCGAUGACGUGUGAUUGAAGGCCGGUAAGCUCACAGGAGGGCGCCACAGGUGUGGAGCGUGUGCGAUGGCGUGUGAUCGAAGGCCUGUAAGCUCACAGGAGUGUGCCACAGGUGUGGAGCGUGUGCGAUGGCGUGUGAUCGAAGGCCGGUAAGCUCACAGGAGGGCGUCACAGGUGUGGAGCGUGUGCGAUGGCAUGUGAUUGAAGGCCGGUAAGCUCACAGGAGGGCGCCACAGGUGUGGAGGGGAGGGCUUGGAGUAUCCCUGGGGCAGGAGUUGCCUGUGGCUUCUUGGAGGGGUACAGCGGAGCCCCAGGAGAUGGCUAAGCUCCUAAGCAGGGGAAGUAGGAGGUUGGGAAUGGGAUAGGGAGAGGAAGGAAAGAACAGGAAGGGUGGUGCCAGGUUGUCGGGAACCUUGGAAGUAAACUUGAGGAGUCUGACCGACUUCUCAGGGCAGUGGAAAGCAGGGCACGCUUUAUUGCUG